RNAcentral lists this long non-coding RNA (1611 nucleotides) under Macaca fascicularis (crab-eating macaque). RNAcentral's name for it is "lncRNA (ENSMFAG00000054421.1)". The record is from RNAcentral. Lineage: Eukaryota; Metazoa; Chordata; Mammalia; Primates; Cercopithecidae.
GGGCAAUGAUACAUUAUUUGCAGCUCAAUAUAAUAAAAAACAAGAGAUAGUCUCUGGGUUUGGUGGCUAUUCUUUUAUUUUCCUGGCUAUUACCAAUAUUUAACAAACAAAAUUGACUUGCCAUAGUUACCAGGAAAUCAGUGUCUAUGCACAUUCAUUUCAGGUUGCAUUGUACUAUACCUGAAUAUGCAUAUGCCAAAAGAUGCCUUGACAUUUGCAACCUGCAGCACUUAAGAGGAAUAGCCCCAUUAUAAAUGGUCAUUUUUCAUUAUAGCCUGCAUUUCUUUAAGAGACGGCCAGAGAAAUGAAAGCUGUUUGCCAGAAGACUUGUUUUCAAUACGAAUGUAAAGAGAAUGAAUCCAUGAACAGGUCACCUUAGAGAAGGUUAAAUAAGCCAACCUGCCUUUGCAGUGGCUUUUCUGUACACCACCUCUUUUCUGUCCUGUUGGCUGCUGCCCUUUGCUCAGGCCAUCAUUUUCUCUUAUACUGUUAGUAGCUAAUGUAGUUGCUUCCAGCUAACAAAACAAAUCAUUCAACCUGAAAAGAGGAUGUUUUCAAUAACUCUCACCAUUUUGCCAAUGGUGAAAGUAAAGAUAUAAGAGAUCCAGUUAUUUCCCCUAGGUUAUAUAGGUAAUUGGUUUCAGGGCUCAGACUUUCCAGUACAGCACUUGAUGGUUAUAUGGUAUUUCGACUUUUUAAACACUACGGUUUGAAUUCAGCUGAAUUAGUCAUGGUAGGCUAACUACUCUAAUAACAACCUUACAUUUCAAUGGAUUAACAGAAUAAAAGUUUAUUUCUUCAUUAUAUAAAAUUCAAGGACGUGAGCUUUUAUGUCAUCAUCCAGGAACCUAGGUUCUUUUUAUCUUGUGUCUCUACUAGGCUCUAUGUCCUCAUAAUCCGCUCCUUUUGGUUAGAAAGGGGGAAAAGGGAGCAUAGGAUUAUCUGUUGGAAGUUUAUGAGGUAUUCUGAAAGUGGUACAAAUACUUUUGCCCAUUUUCCAUUGGGUAGAACGAAAUCACACAGCCAAACCAACCUCAAGGGAGGCUGAACAACAUGGUCGAGUCAUGUGUCUAGCAGAAAAAAGAAAGGAUGUUUCAAACACCUGUAUUUGCCCUAGACACUUUGAUUGACCUACUUUGAUGUAUACAUACUUGACUGGCUUAAAAAUCUUAAAAAUAUUCACUGUUUUAAAAAUGUGCAAGUAUAUAUUAAAAUAGAUACCCUUAGCCUAUACAUGAUAUACAAUCCAUCUCUGAGUCUUAUCUUGAAUCAGUUAGAAUCAAAUUUAACCACAAAUAACAUGAGCCACAAAUAACAUUGGCUUAACCAAGAUAGAAAUGUAUUUCAUUCUGUUUCUUUCAUGUAAAAAGAAAUUUAGAAUGAAACUUGGAAUUGAAAUCAAAGCUGGUAAUACUCACCAUCAUGGGAAUUCAGACUCUAUCAUCUUACUUCUAAACUUAAGGUCAUUUUACUGUAGAAUUUAGGGAAUAAUUAAAACAAACAAACAAACAAACAAAACCCUGAGGUCAUCUCAUGAGCCAAGCUAGUCACUGCCAUUCCCACCUUCUAUUCACACUGCAGGUUGAAAAAAAUAACAGAAAAAAAAAAAAA